Anas platyrhynchos (mallard) is the source of this 5295-nucleotide non-coding RNA. NCBI's taxonomy places the organism in Eukaryota, Metazoa, Chordata, Aves, Anseriformes, Anatidae. The record is from RefSeq and is a predicted model, not a curated record.
GCAAGGUCAUUAAUCACAACAAAAAGAACAAACUGUUAUAUAAAGCAAUAAUUUUGCCAGACAAGUAUUUUAAGUCUGUCUAAACCAGAUGAUCAGAACAUAUUACCCAGUUCUUGGUUUAUUGUCUCCAUAAAGCAUUGGAAGGAUACAUGUCUGCCCUAGUAAUUUAUUUUAAUUUAAUUUUAUUUUUUUAUUUUAUUUUAUUAUUUUAUUUUAUUUUUUUUUUUUUUUUUUUUUUUUUUUUUUUUUCAGGCACAAAUAUGAUGAUCUUCUCAAAGUGUUGUUUUUUUGUUUUCAAUCCUUCUGGUUCUUGCAACAUUUUUACCUUUUCAAUGCCUAACUUAUUGUCUACUGCAACAAUGCAUUGAAAAUUCUGAAAAGGAGCGAAUACCAACGGGAAGCUUCACGAAAGCCGUUGUUAUCAGGAGAGAGUCUGUGAAAAGGGAGUACAAGAAAUAAGUAAAUGGAAAUGUAAAGUGAAAUUCAGAUGUGGAUGAGUAAAUACAAAUACAUUGAAAGCUGGCAAAAUGAGAUUCACAGGACUGUUCCUCUUCCCCAGACACACUGGAGCUCACAUGCAGGGCUAGCCACAUCAGCAGCUGCUACUAGACCCUUCAAUGGCAGAACAUGAAGGAGAGGAACUGCAAAAACCCUCCCAGGUCUAAUUGGUUUGGAUGCUUCCCACAACCUCAGAAUAGCAAAACCUCUGGUCUGCUCAUCAAGAGGAAAACAAGAUAACUUGUUAAAACCCAGGCACCAAUUUCUCUGCUUCUGGUGUUCACUAAAUCUCAGAUACUGGGAUUUCAAUGCUGGGCAAACCCAGAAACAUUGAUAAUUUCAUGGCUCAACAGGAUAUACAGGAAGAAAGGCCAUAGCGAAGAAAAGACAUAAAUAUUGACAUGCCAUUGAAUCAAAAUAAUUCAGUAUCUAUACAACAUCGGUAUUGUAAUCAUAAGAAGACAUAGAGAAAUAUUAAAAUCUGAAUUAAACCAGCUGUAUCUUUAUUAUCCUUCAAAUGGACCAGACUCCUGUAUCAGUAUUUUUUUGUUUUUGGUCCCUAGAGCUGCAGACACCGAUGUAGGAGGAGACACCUGUCAUCCUCUAUAUUGCUGGUGUCACUGAUAUGGCAGAGUCUGGAAAAGAGAAGAUCCCACACAUAAAUAAAUAUACAAGAACUGAUUCUGCAUUUGUGCCCAACACAAUCUCCAUUAACAUCAGAGACCACAGACUGACAUCUGUGUAAAUGACGUGAUAACCAAGACAGUAAAAAUGGUUGGGACUUCCCAUCUCUAAAUAGGCUGAUUUUUCAAAGUGGAAGCAAAUUUGAAGUACAGAUGCCUUCUGCAAUGCCUUGACCUGCCCAUUCAAAGUGUCCAGGCACUCCAUGUGUCAGUAUGUGCAAUUCUUCUGUUUUGUUACACAUUAAAGUGCUCUCCUCUCACAGAGGACAGUUUUCAAACUGCACAGCUGCAGCUUGGCUCCCCCGACCUUUCUUUGUCUGAAAAUGGGAAAAUAAAGCAUAGUUUGUCUUAGGAAAAUAAGAUAGGAAAAUAGUAGGAUGUUUUGUUUGCAGUGGGAUUGGGACAUGGAGAGUACUAAGGAGACUAUGAUUGAUAACUCACUGCUGUGCAAAAUAUUUUAUAUACUUUCUGCAUACAGAACAUAUCAAUUUGAAUUUUAUGCAUGUUUUGUCUGCUUGUAAAUUGAGCUGAAAGUGGGAUUAUUAUUAUUAUUAACAAUAAUAUAAUAACAUUAAUAUAUAUUAAUAUAAUUAAUAUUAAUACAACAACAACAACAACAACAACAACAACAACAACAAUAAUAAUAAUAAUAAUAAUAAUAAUAAUAAUAAUAAUAAUAAACAGUAAUGCACAUUAAAAUGCAGAGGUAAUAGGGGUUGGGACAAAUGUUUGCUGCAUCAGAGGAAAAGAUUGUUCAGACUUUACUGGGCACAGAAUGGGUUCCAAGUCUCUCUCUCUAAAUUAAAUGGCAGUCUUGAAAUACAUAAAACACAAUGGUAUAAUGAAUAUAGGAGGAAUUUUCCAUUGAAUACUUACAUCCCACAGUGCUGGAGUUACAGAGGCAGUGGCUGGAAAGACCAUUUUAGCAGAAACUGAUGUGUUACUGUAUUACUAUCAGUGGAACAAUUCUGACGUGUUAUGUGCUCAUUUGAAGACUUCAGAAUGUACCUUGCUAGCCUGGUUUCAAGAGAGACAGAAUUUGAGUCCAAUCCCAGUCUGGUGAUCAAGGCUAUUUAGGAAAGUCCAGAAAAAUCUGUAAACAUUCUCAUUUUAAAGGAAACUGAAUAUUUACAAUUUUUCGGAAAUGUUAACUAUAAAAUAAAUAUGGGAGUCUCACUGCAGUACCUCAACCCAUGCAAAUCAAUAUGUGUUAAGAGUACAUGCAAACAUCAAGUAUUAGAUUAGAUUUAGAUAAUAUUAUUCUAAAUAUAUAAAAAUAUCUCUAUAUAGAUGCCUGUAGUUGUUUAAAUCAUUUUUCUUUAUGACCUUUCCAUAUUACAUCUUAUAUCUCUGUAAGCUGUUUUGAUUUGUGUGUUUUUUGUUUUUUUUUCCUGGCAAUGUCUAAAAGUUGCAUUCACUUCUCUGCUCUGUUACUACUUCUCUGCUCUGUUACUGAGGCACAGAUGGACUGCUUCAUGGAACUUCCCAUGUUCACAAUUUUACAAUUUUUCUUUUUUUUUUUUUUUUUCUUUUUCUCUCACUUUUUAUAUUUUACUUGGCUAAAGUAACUGUUACUUUACUGCAAGUUAUGCAUAAACCUUAGAUUAGUGAUAGCUAAAUACAGAAGGCCAAAUUCCUAGCUGAAAUGAAAAUAGGAAUACUCGUGCAGCCUGAUUGACUGCCUGAGAGUUAUGUUGGCUUUCAUGGCCAAAGUGCUACAUGGAGAGAAGCUGACUAAAUUCUGAUGUUCCUUUCUGAAGCCAGCCUAACUGAAAGGUUGACAACAAGAAAACAAACCAAACAAGAGCGAGUUUUCAAAGAGGGAGUAGGAGAGAGCAGCAAGCAGCUGCCUGGAGGAUAAUUCCCUGGAGGAAGAUUUUGUUCAUUUUCUUCCCUGCUCGUACAGUCCUGGGGAUAUCUCGAUCAAUAUCAGAGCUCUAAUGCAAUAUGUAAAAGAUUAUAUUUCAUAACAUAUAUUAAAUAGUACCUUUCCAUACACAGUCUUAAUUUUAAUUAUUCUUGCAUGGAUAGAAAGUGAUUUUGUUUACUGUAAGUGAGGAGCUGAGGAAAGUCACGCAGCUCAGAGUGGGGAGUGAUUUCCAAAUCUGAGAUUCAAACGGCACAGCCUGGCUCUGCAGAAGGCUGGUGUCGGCAGGUCUCUGUGUGGUGGUGACAUCUCCCCGCCUCUUCUCCAUGCACUGCUUGGAGGAGGGGACAAGGCAGGGCUGGGGCUCAUGCUGAGAGGUGCAGACUUUACUGUGUGUGACUGAGUAAUGAACACCCCAGUGCAUCUGUUGCCUUCAGAGAGCCAACAGAGAAAAAGCUUGCCAGCUGUUCUUAUUUCUUUCUUUGCACAGCACUGGGAGGGGGUGCAGGGGUGGACCGAGUUCUGGCUGCUAAGAUCAUUCUCUGCUUGAAGUUUGGAAAUUGCUUAAACACAUAUACCCUUUCCCUUUGAUAAAGACAUCAUUACUGAAGUUUUUACAAAGUAAUAUUAGCCUAUUUCAUAUGCAUUGAUGUGUGCUACUUUUCUUCAUGCAAAGCUAAAGUGAAUGUAUCUAGAACAGAGCUCAAAGUUAAUUAGCAAUGAUCAUGUUUUGACACCUUUUUCUUAGUCAGACACUUUCAAUCAUUGUAAAUAAGUAGCACCUAGCAUUAUUUAUUUAUUUUUAUAUAAUAUUUUAUUUAUAAGUUCUUAAAAAAAAAAGUAGGCCCAGAAUCUUGUAAAAUUUUAGUCUGGAGCAGACUUCACUGAAGUUAAAGAGCUUUGAAAAAUAAGAUUUAGCUUGAGAAGACUGCUAAAACCCUUUUAAUUAUUAAAAAAAAAAAAAAAAAAAAAAAAAAAGAGAGUACCUUUUUGGCACCAAGAGCAUGGUAAUAGCUUCAGAGGCAGGGAGAGGAUUUGUCUGCUGGCAAAAUAUUGGUCUGAAUAGACCUCUGAAGAUCACCUAGUCCAACCCAAGCAGGAUCACCCAGAGCACAUUGCACAGGAUGGAGUCCAGGUGGGUUUUAAAUAUCUCCAGAGAAGAGAUAUUUAUAUAUCUCUUGUAUAUAUAUAUAUAUAAGGGUGACAUAUAUAUAUAUGAGAUAUAUAUAUUAUAUAAUUAUAUAAUAAUAUAUAUAUAUCUGUCAUCCUCACAGGAAAGGAAUGCCCUCUCAUUUUCAGAUGGAAUUUCCUCUGCUCCAGUUUGUGCCCAUUGCCCUACCUGCUACCCUGCUUCCUUCUCCCCUGUCCAGCAUGCUCCUUCAUUCACCAACACCUGGAUGGAGCUCAGAAACUCCCACACCAUCAGUAACGAAAGAUUUUUUCCCUCUCCUAAGUCCCUGUAGUAAAAGACAGUAAAUGUGGGAUGUGGAUCUUUUCGUUAUUUUUUUUAAGUAUGAAAAAUGGGAAAAAGAAAAAUUCUGCUUUAGUUUUGCAAAAAAUAUUCCUGCUAUGGAAAGGGAUAUUUUCUGUUGACCCUAUUGCAAACCAGGAUAGUACAUAUUAAUAUACAUAAUAGUACAUAUACAUAGUGGUUGUUCAUAUAUAUGUUUAUAUAGGCUUACUUAAUUACACAUUUGUAUGUAUAUAUAUCAUACAUAAGUAUGUAUAGUAUAGUAUAGUAUAGUAAGUAUACCAAAGGGUGUAUUUUCCUACAUAUGCAAUACAGGGAGAAAGGUAUAGCUUUCAGUUGUAACAAUAAGUUGUAUCAAUAAGCUCUUGCAUUUUGAAAAUGUCAUUGUACUGGGAGUAGGGGGAACAUUCAUUCCAUGCUUGCUGUGUAGCAUAUAACAUUGCAUACCUGGUGAACAUGAUUGAAAAUGAUCAUAAAACACCCUUGUAAAUGUUCUAUGCAUUAUUUGGGUUUGUCUUCUUUGUUUGUUUGUUUUGUUUUAUUUUCUGUUUUAUUUUUCUCCUAACCUUGAACCUUUGUAAUCUGGACUGAGAAAAUUUACAAAAUGCAAUGGUGAAUUUAGGAGACUGGCUUUUGUUAUCAUGUGUCUACACAUUUACUUAUUUGGCAAACAUUUUUUUUUUAUGAACAUACUGUAUCACUUCCUAUUUUAAAUUAAGGUUAUCAUAGAAAUCAAAACAAAUUAAAGAUCCAUUUGCUUUUCUGUGCAGGGUAAA